CCUACGGGAGGCAGCAGUGAGGAAUAUUGGUCAAUGGACGAGAGUCUGAACCAGCCAAGUCGCGUGAAGGAUGACUGCCCUAUGGGUUGUAAACUUCUUUUAUAUGGGAAUAAAAUGUUCCACGUGUGGGAUUUUGUAUGUACCAUAUGAAUAAGGAUCGGCUAACUCCGUGCCAGCAGCCGCGGUAAUUCGGAGGAUCCGAGCGUUAUCCGGAUUUAUUGGGUUUAAAGGGGGCGUAGGUGGAUUGUUAAGUCAGUUGUGAAAGUUUGCGGCUCAACCGUUAAAUUGCAGUUGAAACUGGCAGUCUUGAGUUCAGUAGAGGUAGGCGGAAUUCGUGGUGUAGCGGUGAAAUGCUUAGAUAUCACGAAGAACUCCGAUUGCGAAGGCAGUUCACUGGACUGCAACUGACACUGAGGCUCGAAAGUGUGGGUAUCAAACAGGAUUAGAUACCCGUGUAGUC
This 460-nucleotide ribosomal RNA is filed under the name uncultured bacterium. RNAcentral describes it as "partial 16S ribosomal RNA". It matches the Rfam family "Bacterial small subunit ribosomal RNA", at positions 338 to 795 of the family's 1533-position model. The record is from RNAcentral.